AAAGGACCUGUAUGAAACACAAGAUGGCGAGGAAGUGGAAGGAAAAAUGAACUAAUGCCGGUAGUUAGCUUUGUCAAA
Non-coding RNA from Rhinolophus ferrumequinum (greater horseshoe bat), 78 nucleotides. The record is from Rfam. Lineage: Eukaryota; Metazoa; Chordata; Mammalia; Chiroptera; Rhinolophidae.